UACGGAGGGUGCAAGCGUUAUCCGGAUUUACUGGGUUUAAAGGGUGCGUAGGCGGGCAGGUAAGUCAGGGGUGAAAUCUUCGAGCUUAACUCGGAAACUGCCUUUGAUACUAUCUGUCUUGAAUAUUGUGGAGGUAAGCGGAAUAUGUCAUGUAGCGGUGAAAUGCUUAGAUAUGACAUAGAACACCUAUUGCGAAGGCAGCUUACUACGCAUAUAUUGACGCUGAGGCACGAAAGCGUGGGGAUCAAACAGG
Molecule: ribosomal RNA, 253 nt
Filed under: uncultured bacterium
Lineage: Bacteria
Description: partial 16S ribosomal RNA
Rfam family: Bacterial small subunit ribosomal RNA
Source: RNAcentral